CGAGGAGCUAAGUGAGGUCUAAUAUAUGUGGAAUUAUGAAAAGAUUUACCUAUUUCUUCGUUUUAAAAAGCACUUAUUUCAAUACCAAAACCAUGAAUUUUUUGCACCCAUUUGCAAUCACUUCAGUGAGCGUGAUGGCUUAGAUUCCCAAAAGAUGAGAAGCAGAAAGAAAUUAGAACAGAAAUAUAAGGUCAUCAUAACUGGAGUGUCUGGAGUCAGAUUCAUUGGCCUAGCAAUAAGUUUUUCAUAUGGACUGAUAUUCGC
Long non-coding RNA from Uloborus diversus, 264 nucleotides. RefSeq lists it as uncharacterized. Lineage: Eukaryota; Metazoa; Arthropoda; Arachnida; Araneae; Uloboridae. The record is from RefSeq and is a predicted model, not a curated record. The transcript is spliced from 3 exons.